Molecule: ribosomal RNA, 229 nt
Filed under: uncultured bacterium
Lineage: Bacteria
Description: partial 16S ribosomal RNA
Rfam family: Bacterial small subunit ribosomal RNA
Source: RNAcentral
UCCGUAGGUGGAUAAUUAAGUCAGAGGUGAAAUCCUGCAGCUCAACUGUAGAAUUGCCUUUGAUACUGGUUAUCUUGAGUUAUUAUGAAGUAGUUAGAAUAUGUAGUGUAGCGGUGAAAUGCAUAGAUAUUACACAGAAUACCGAUUGCGAAGGCAGAUCACUAAUAAUGUACUGACACUGAUGGACGAAAGCGUGGGGAGCGAACAGGAUUAGAUACCCUGGUAGUCC